UCGUUUUAUGUAUAAGCUCGU
Molecule: microRNA, 21 nt
Filed under: Oryctolagus cuniculus (rabbit)
Lineage: Eukaryota; Metazoa; Chordata; Mammalia; Lagomorpha; Leporidae
Description: ocu-miR-590-3p
Gene: ocu-miR-590-3p
Source: miRBase by way of RNAcentral